AGUGAACGCUGGCGGUAGGCCUAACACAUGCAAGUCGAACGGCAGCACAGUAAGAGCUUGCUCUUACGGGUGGCGAGUGGCGGACGGGUGAGGAAUACAUCGGAAUCUACUUUUUCGUGGGGGAUAACGUAGGGAAACUUACGCUAAUACCGCAUACGACCUACGGGUGAAAGCAGGGGAUCUUCGGACCUUGCGCGAUUGAAUUAGCCGAUGUCGGAUUAGCUAGUUGGCGGGGUAAAGGCCCACCAAGGCGACGAUCCGUAGCUGGUCUGAGAGGAUGAUCAGCCACACUGGAACUGAGACACGGUCCAGACUCCUACGGGAGGCAGCAGUGGGGAAUAUUGGACAAUGGGGGAAAGCCUGAUCCAGCCAUACCGCGUGGGUGAAGAAGGCGUUCGGGUUGUAAAGCCCUUUUGUUGGGAAAGAAAAGCAGCAGGUUAAUACCCCGCUGUUCUGACGGUACCCAAAGAAUAAGCACCGGCUAACUUCGUG
This 492-nucleotide ribosomal RNA is filed under the name uncultured bacterium. RNAcentral's name for it is "partial 16S ribosomal RNA". It matches the Rfam family "Bacterial small subunit ribosomal RNA", at positions 29 to 507 of the family's 1533-position model. The record is from RNAcentral.